GGGGAUGCAAGGACUCGACAAGGAAUGGACUUUAAAAACUGCAGGCCGAGCGUCAUCUCGCUAAUCUGACAAAAACAUCAACUGCCAACAGAAAUGUUGCUCCCGCGUUUGCUUUCGCAUAACACGGCAUCCGCUCUACGUUGCUUGAACGCCGAGGUCCGGGUGUGAUAUUUCAAGCUGGCUUACCGUUGUGCCGUAGGCGGUAGGCAAGAAAAUUCGGCAGAGAAUCUGGAAUGUAUUGCCUAAUUCGUUAUUCCUGAUUCUUACUUUGAAUUAGGCUACGCCCGUAGAGGUUUUUAGAGAAAUUUCUUGGACAGGGCUUCAAUGCCCUCAUCUCCACAU
Molecule: transfer-messenger RNA, 342 nt
Filed under: Candidatus Wolfebacteria bacterium
Lineage: Bacteria; Candidatus Wolfeibacteriota
Rfam family: transfer-messenger RNA
About the family: Bacterial tmRNA, also known as 10Sa RNA or SsrA, is named for its dual tRNA and mRNA-like properties. Its role is to liberate the mRNA from a stalled ribosome. To accomplish this part of the tmRNA is used as a reading frame that ends in a translation stop signal.
Source: RNAcentral